AUGUCAGCUUCAUCUUGGCAGUUCCAGCAGCAGAAGCACCUCGUCAGUUUUGUUGUUCCUAAGUCAAGAGAAAAUCUCAUUCAUCAACAGUUCACUGUUAUGUUAAAUGCCAGAAGGGGUAUAGAAAAAUUGGGACACUAUUGUGCUGUUGGUGAAGUUGUGAAUUCGUCCAGCCAUUCUGGAGAACAGUUUGGAACUAUGCCCAAAAACUUAUAAAACUAUGCACACCCUUUGACUCGGCAAUACCACUACUAAGUCUGUAUCCCAAAGAGAUCAAAGAAAAGGGAAAAGGACCUCUAUGUACAAAAAUAUUAAUGGCAGCUCUUUUUGCGGUGUCUAAGGAUUGGAAAUUGAGAUGAUGCCCAUCAAUUGGAGAGUGUGUGAAUAAGUUUGGGUAUGUGAUUGUGUGGGAAUACUAUUGUGCUAUAAGAAAUGAAGAGCAGGAUGAUUUCAGAAAAACCUGGGGAGACUUAUAUGAACUAAUGCAAAAUGAAGUGAGCAGAACCAGGAAAAUGUUGUACGUGGUAACAGCAAUAUCAUGUGAUGAUCAGCUGGGAAAGACUUAGCUACUCUGAUCAAUACAGUAAUCGAAGACAAUUCUAAAAGAUCUGUGAUGGAAAAUGCUAUCCACCUCCAGAGAGAGAAGUGAUGAAUUCUAAAUGAAGAUUGAAGCAUGCUUUUUUUUUCAUUUUUUAAAAAUUUAUUUUUUAGUUUUCAACAUUCACUUCCAUAAGCUUUUGAGUUUUAAGUUUUCUCCCCCUUCCUCCCCACCUCCCUCCCCAAGACGGCAUGCAAUCUGAUAUAGGCUUUACAUAUGCAUUCCUAUUAAACAUAUUUUCAUAUUAUCCAUGUUGUAAAGAAGAAUUAGAAACAAUAGGAGUAACCACAAGAAAGAAGAAACAAAACAAAACAAAAGGUAAAAAAAAGGGCAAAUAGUAUGCUUUGAUCUGCAUUCAAACUCCAUAGUUCUUUCUCUGGACGUGGAUAGUAUUUUCCAACAGGAGAAUUUUGGAGAAGUCUUACAUCCUUGCAUUGUGAAGCAUACUUUUUAAAACUUUUUCUUGUUUUAUGUUUUUGUCUGUGUUUUCUUUUGCAACAUGGCUAAUAUGGAAAUGUGCUUUGCAUGAUUUUACAUUUAUAGUUAAUAUCAAAUUGCUUGCCUUCUCAAGGAAGGGGGAAGGGUGGAAGUAAAGGAGAGAUUUUGGAACUCACUAUUUUAAAAAAUGAUUGUUAAAAUUUCUUAACAUGUAAUUGGAAGCUAUUUAACAAAAUAAAUUUAUAUUUAAAAUGCUAAUUUUUUUAAAA
Molecule: long non-coding RNA, 1305 nt
Filed under: Phascolarctos cinereus (koala)
Lineage: Eukaryota; Metazoa; Chordata; Mammalia; Diprotodontia; Phascolarctidae
Description: lncRNA (ENSPCIG00000021433.2)
Source: RNAcentral